CUGGCCGUAAACGAUGGAUACUAGGUGUGGGAGGUAUCGACCCCUUCCGUGCCGGAGUUAACGCAAUAAGUAUCCCGCCUGGGGAGUACGGCCGCAAGGCUGAAACUCAAAGGAAUUGACGGGGACCCGCACAAGCGGUGGAGUAUGUGGUUUAAUUCGACGCAACGCGAAGAACCUUACCAGGCCUUGACAUCCAAUGAACUUUCCAGAGAUGGAUUGGUGCCUUCGGGAACAUUGAGACAGGUGC
RNAcentral lists this ribosomal RNA (247 nucleotides) under uncultured bacterium. RNAcentral's name for it is "partial 16S ribosomal RNA". It matches the Rfam family "Bacterial small subunit ribosomal RNA", at positions 796 to 1041 of the family's 1533-position model. The record is from RNAcentral.